GGAUGCGCAUGCGCAGACAGAGUGUGCGAGCGGCGGGCCUUGACCUUUCGGGAAAAAAAACUCACGGACGGUGACAGCGAGGCGGAUAACAGUCUUCAGUACCUGCUGGACUUUGAAGCUGUGGAUUCUGGGACUGUUAGAAAAGCUCCAACAAAAUGAGGAAGAGGAGGGGCAGAAACACAAUUAGAUGGAAUUACAAUUGGAUGGAAGGCGAGGACAAGAAGAAGGAAGCUUAGGAUGAGGAGGAAGAGAAGCAGCAGGAGCAUCUUUAGGGAUCCCUAUGAUGUCAUUGAGAGGCAGCGGCGA
Non-coding RNA from Maylandia zebra (zebra mbuna), 306 nucleotides. The record is from RefSeq and is a predicted model, not a curated record. Lineage: Eukaryota; Metazoa; Chordata; Actinopteri; Cichliformes; Cichlidae.